AGCAGCCGCGGUAAUUCCAGCUCCAAUAGCGUAUAUUAAAGUUGUUGCAGUUAAAAAGCUCGUAGUUGAAUUUCGGGAUCAAGGAAUCGGUCAUGCCUCGGUAUGUACUGGUUUUAUUGGUUCUCACCUUCUAAAGAACCAUGAUGUCAUUCAUUUGAUGUUAUGGGGAAUUAGGACUGUUACCUUGAAAAAUUAGAGUGUUUAAAGCAGGCUUACGCUUGAAUACAUUAGCAUGGAAUAAUGAAAUAGGACAUCAGAUUCUAUUUUGUUGGUUUCUAGGAUCGAUGUAAUGAUUAAUAGGGAUAGUUGGGGGCAUUAGUAUUCAAUUGUCAGAGGUGAAAUUCUUGGAUUUAUUGAAGACUAACUACUGCGAAAGCAUUUGCCAAGGAUGUUUUCAUUAAUCAAGAACGAAAGUUAGGGGAUCGAAGACGAUCAGAUACCGUCGUAGUCUUAACCAUAAACUAUGCC
RNAcentral lists this ribosomal RNA (468 nucleotides) under uncultured Glomus. RNAcentral describes it as "SSU rRNA". It matches the Rfam family "Eukaryotic small subunit ribosomal RNA", at positions 569 to 1043 of the family's 1831-position model. The record is from RNAcentral. Lineage: Eukaryota; Fungi; Glomeromycota; Glomeromycetes; Glomerales; Glomeraceae.